CUCAUGGUCAACAGAAUAUGGCACAAAGAGGGUCUCCUAAGGAAGGUCCCAGUGAGGAAAGAGAAAGAACACUGCAGCACCAUCUAUGCCUACCUUUUUCUCAGCGUUUAUAAAAAAAAUUCAUAUUCCCUACAAAGCAAAACUAUGGUAUAACAGGACAACUAAGACUGCCUUGGCACCAGAGAAACUACAAUCUAGAUGUGCUCUGCUUCCAGUCGGCCGAGAAGCCUGCAGCAAAUCACCUAAACACUUAAGGUCUUUGUGUGCCAUCCACACCCAACUGCAACUAGAGACUUUCAUUGGCCCCUUUCUGUCUCAGAGCUUUCGGUGGUUCUACAAGUCACCAGCCUGGAUCUCUAACAAUGUGUCUCUCCAAAGCUGUUAAUACAUUCACAUCCAAAAUAUCUCCAGCCACGAAAUCCCAGUUUAGAGGUUGCCCGUCCUUGUUGAAGAAACAUUUCUACACAAAUACCGGUUGCCUAUACCAGAUGGCCAUACCAAUACCCAAAUACUGACAAACGUUUAAAAGAAUUUACAGUACUCCCUUCACUUUAGAAAUGUUAACAGUUCAAGUCCAACAGAACUUAAAGGAAAAAAAGAGAAAUGUUAACAGUAAGUAAGGCAUUUAUUUAACAUAAUCUCAACUAAAGUCCAACUAAAGAGCUUCCCCAGGCAAACACUCCUUUUGCACUUCAUUUUGAAGACAAAAGAAUGCACAAGUUAAAAUCCUAAUAUUACCAUUUUAUUAAAAAUAACUUUUAAGAUCCAAUCUGUGGCCAAUAUUCGAUCUGGAUGCAAAACCCUGGCUUCCAGACAGGCCAGCCGGGGGCACUGCUCUGAAGGUCAUUACUUAAGUAUCCCAGUCUCCUCAGUCUGACAGACCUACCCCUGCCCAGCCAAUCUCCACAUAACAGCUAGUUGUUCAUAAUAAAUCCCAUCAGAUCCCCGCUUAACUACUCCCCUUCAAAGGCUCCACUGCCCUCAGGAAAUAGUUCAACCACCUUCUGUGGAAAGGCCUUCUAAAACCUCUCUCCGAGUCUGUCUGCUAAUCUCUC
This 1055-nucleotide long non-coding RNA is filed under the name Pan troglodytes (chimpanzee). RNAcentral's name for it is "long non-coding RNA NONPTRT005506". The record is from RNAcentral. Lineage: Eukaryota; Metazoa; Chordata; Mammalia; Primates; Hominidae.